AGUUUAAGGAAAUAAUCUUAAAUGUAUUCUGCCCAAUGAUUUUUUAAAUGGCCGCAGUACCUUGACUGUGCUAAGGUAGCAUAAUCAAUUGGCUUCUAAUUAAAGUCUGGAAUGAAAGGAAAAAUGAAGUAAUUCUGUCUUAAAAAAUUUUUUUUAAAUUUAUUUAAAUGAUGAAAAUAUCAUUUUUUAGAAAAAAGACGAGAAGACCCUUAGAGUUUUUAUUAUUUUUUUUGUUGGGGCGACAAGUAAACAAUUUAAACUUUACUAAUUUUUUUAAUCGAUUUAAUAAUAAGAUUAAUUAAACUACCUUAGGGAUAACAGCAUUAUAUUAUAUAUGAUUGUGACCUCGAUGUUGGACUAGGAACUUUAUGGCUAGCCGUCAUAAAAGAUUUGUUCUGUUCGAACAAUUUAUCCUAC
Molecule: ribosomal RNA, 417 nt
Filed under: Biomphalaria sudanica
Lineage: Eukaryota; Metazoa; Mollusca; Gastropoda; Planorbidae
Description: partial 16S ribosomal RNA
Source: RNAcentral